CCAGGCUCUCCUCGAUCCAAACCUUAGGUUACUAUAAGUUGCACACUAAUAAAUUCAUCUUCAUGGUGAUUCUUUUACCUAUCUGAACAAGAAAGUAGUACGUAGCUGAAUCCAAAGGGUUUUUGAACCAAAAACAUGUGCCUCUCAGAAGCAUAGAAAGAAAGAUGCAAGUUCAUCCAUCAUUUCACAACUAUCGGUAAAACGCUGCUUUGUCUUUUGGCAACCUAACAGUGACUUACAACUGUUGCAUGAAUGUUGAAUUCAGAGAGUGGACUGCCAUUGCUUCCCUGUAAAUUUCUUCUUACAGCUUACAAGUCAUGGUGCAUUGUCCCCAUCUCUAGAUGCUAUAUCCAUGUCAAUGUAAAAAGAGAAGGGUAAGAAAAGGUAAAAUGGAAUAUUGGAAUUUGUUAUACAUGAACUCAGGCUGUGUAUGAGGAAACAGAGAAAGAGAAUUAUUUUUUGA
This 463-nucleotide small RNA is filed under the name Vigna angularis var. angularis. RNAcentral's name for it is "Non-protein coding transcript". Lineage: Eukaryota; Viridiplantae; Streptophyta; Magnoliopsida; Fabales; Fabaceae. The record is from RNAcentral.